RNAcentral lists this ribosomal RNA (253 nucleotides) under uncultured bacterium. Its description in RNAcentral is "partial 16S ribosomal RNA". It matches the Rfam family "Bacterial small subunit ribosomal RNA", at positions 524 to 776 of the family's 1533-position model. The record is from RNAcentral.
UACGUAGGGACCGAGCGUUGUCCGGAAUCAUUGGGCGUAAAGAGCGUGUAGGCGGCCAACUAAGUCCUGCGUGAAAUCUCGGGGCUCAACCCCGAGCGGUCGUGGGAAACUGGUUGGCUAGAGUGCGGGAGAGGAGAGUGGAAUUCCUGGUGUAGCGGUGAAAUGCGCAGAUAUCUGGAGGAACACCGGUGGCGAAGGCGGCAUCCUGGACCGGUAUUGACGCUGAGGCGCGAAAGCCAGGGGAGCAAACGGG